Molecule: non-coding RNA, 29 nt
Filed under: Bombyx mori (domestic silkworm)
Lineage: Eukaryota; Metazoa; Arthropoda; Insecta; Lepidoptera; Bombycidae
Source: RNAcentral
ACAAUGUCUAAGAUGUUUGAAGUAUGGUC